Molecule: transfer RNA, 74 nt
Filed under: archaeon
Lineage: Archaea
Description: tRNA-Thr
Rfam family: tRNA
About the family: Transfer RNA (tRNA) molecules are approximately 80 nucleotides in length. Their secondary structure includes four short double-helical elements and three loops (D, anti-codon, and T loops). Further hydrogen bonds mediate the characteristic L-shaped molecular structure. tRNAs have two regions of fundamental functional importance: the anti-codon, which is responsible for specific mRNA codon recognition, and the 3' end, to which the tRNAs corresponding amino acid is attached (by aminoacyl-tRNA synthetases). tRNAs cope with the degeneracy of the genetic code in two manners: having more than one tRNA (with a specific anti-codon) for a particular amino acid; and 'wobble' base-pairing, i.e. permitting non-standard base-pairing at the 3rd anti-codon position.
Source: RNAcentral
GCCUCGGUGGCUUAGCCUGGUAUAGCACUUGCUUGGUAAGCAAGAGGUCCCGUGUUCAAAUCACGGCCGAGGCU